UACGAAGACUGCAAGCGUUACUCGGAAUCACUGGGCGUAAAGGGUAUGUAGGCGGCUAGGUGUGUCAGAUGUUUAAGCGCGGGGCUCAACCCCGUUGUUGCAUCUGAAACUGCCUGGCUAGAGACUCGGAGGGGUAAGCGGAAUUCCAGGUGUAGCAGUGAAAUGCGUAGAUAUCUGGAGGAACACCAAAAGCGAAGGCAGCUUACUGGACGAGUACUGACGCUGAAAUACGAAAGCGUGGGGAGCGAAAGGG
Molecule: ribosomal RNA, 253 nt
Filed under: uncultured bacterium
Lineage: Bacteria
Description: partial 16S ribosomal RNA
Rfam family: Bacterial small subunit ribosomal RNA
Source: RNAcentral